UUCAGGAAACUUACAAUCCUGGUGGAAGGCGGAGGGGAAACAGUUACAUGUUACAUGGCUGGAGCAGGAGGAAGAGAGAGAAGGGAUGUGCUGCACACUCUUAAACGACAAGAUCUCAUGAGAACUCUCUCACAAGAACAGCACCAAAGGAAUGGUGUUAAACCAGUCGUGAAGGAUCCACCCCCGUGAACAAGUCACCUCCCACCAGGACCAGCCUCCAACACUGGGGAUUACAAUUGAACAUGAGAUUUGGAUGGGGACACAAAUCCAAACCAUAUCAAUCCCACUACAAGACUU
RNAcentral lists this long non-coding RNA (297 nucleotides) under Homo sapiens (human). RNAcentral's name for it is "HSALNT0012614". Lineage: Eukaryota; Metazoa; Chordata; Mammalia; Primates; Hominidae. The record is from RNAcentral.